UAUAUUUAAUUUUUUUAAAAAAAUAUCUAAUCAGUCGUUUAAAUACCUCAACCUAAUAUUUGAAUAUAGUUUUGUUACCUAAAAUUACCACCUAAGCUAACCACCUAAUCUAAUUACCUAAACUAAUCACAUAAACUAAUUACCUAAACUAACCACCUAAACUAACCACCUAAACCUAAAUUAAUAUUAAAAACAACAUACCUUUCAGAGAAGGAGAGGAGUGGUUUGAGAGGAAUGAAGGAGGAAUGUGUUUCGAGUUUAUAUAAGAAAACAAC
This 275-nucleotide long non-coding RNA is filed under the name Brassica napus (rape). RNAcentral's name for it is "long non-coding RNA (BNAP_LNC023470)". The record is from RNAcentral. Lineage: Eukaryota; Viridiplantae; Streptophyta; Magnoliopsida; Brassicales; Brassicaceae.